GAGGGUAUAGCUCAGUGGUAGAGCACAUGCUUAGCAUGCCUGAGGUCCUGGGUUCAAUCCCUAGUACCUCCA
Molecule: transfer RNA, 72 nt
Organism: Camelus ferus (Wild Bactrian camel)
Lineage: Eukaryota; Metazoa; Chordata; Mammalia; Artiodactyla; Camelidae
Rfam family: tRNA
About the family: Transfer RNA (tRNA) molecules are approximately 80 nucleotides in length. Their secondary structure includes four short double-helical elements and three loops (D, anti-codon, and T loops). Further hydrogen bonds mediate the characteristic L-shaped molecular structure. tRNAs have two regions of fundamental functional importance: the anti-codon, which is responsible for specific mRNA codon recognition, and the 3' end, to which the tRNAs corresponding amino acid is attached (by aminoacyl-tRNA synthetases). tRNAs cope with the degeneracy of the genetic code in two manners: having more than one tRNA (with a specific anti-codon) for a particular amino acid; and 'wobble' base-pairing, i.e. permitting non-standard base-pairing at the 3rd anti-codon position.
Source: Rfam